AACUCGGUUCCUUUUCCCCUUUUCCAAUGCAGUUUAUUCCUGAGUCUGAAGUUUAGUAGCCCCACUAGAAAAGACUGUGAAAAAGCAAUAUCCAUACCUCCUCUGGAGCCCACUCCCUUCAGGAGCCCACCUAGGUGCCCGCUUCCCUCCCACCCAAGAUCCUGUAGGGAAGGGUGUUCAUGAUCAAACCCAGAAGAUACCUGUGAGACCUCUCCAGAGAAAAGGAAAGAAAUAUUCACUAUCACUGUUGUCUUCCAUCCUCCCUUAUACAUUUUCCCGCCAGUCUCUUAACUUCCCAGGCUUCUUUCAAACUCCCUCUUUCUCUGUAUAGUAGCUUCCUGUACAAUUGUGUAUCCCAUUUAGACAUGAAAACUUGCCUAAAAGAAAUUAGGCAGAUAUGCGGUGCCAGAGACACAAGUGACUCACUCCCUUGCUUCAUUUAGUUUCCUCGUCAAAUGUCACUUGUAGUGAGAAAGGCCUUACCUUGACCCCCACCUCUGCGUAAAAUAGUCAUCCCUUCCAACCAAUAACUUAACCUGAUAUACAUUCCCUUGGAGCAUUUAUCGUACCCAUCAGAUUCUGUGUUAAUUUCUUACUUGAUUUGUGUGUGUGUGUGUGUGCGCGCGCGUGUGUGUGUGUGUGUGUGUGUGUGUGUGUGUGUGUGUGUUUUUAGGACCUCACCCCACAUAUGGAGGUUCCCAUGCUAGGGAUCGAAUCAGAGCUGUAGCUGCUGGCCUACGCCACAGCCACAGCAACACUGGAUCCUUAUCCCACUGAGCGAGGCCAGGGAUCAAGCCCACAUCCUUAUGGAUACUAGUCAGGUUCAUUAACCACUGAGCCACGACAGGCACUCCUCUUACUUGAUUUUUAUGUCUCUUCAUGCACACCGUGAGGUCAGGGACUCACUGCUUCAUCCCUGUGGUAAACACGUGACUGGUAUAUAGUAAACCCUUCAAUUUUUUCUGAAUGAACUAUCUAUUAAGUUUGACAAUUCAGAGCCUUGAGGUUUAUCUUAAUGAGGGAGCUGCUGUGCUCAUCAUCUCUGUUUCAAAGCUUAGUCUGUUGAAGUUUGGAGCUUGCCCAGGGUCACACAAGUGGUAAGUGGAACUGAGAUCCACGCCCAGAUCUGCUGACUCUGUUUAUUCAGGUGACACUAUAAAAUGCCUCCAAAUAGAGAUAAAUUAAUUUGAUAAAUAUUUAUCGGUAUGUCUUUAAUGAGAAAACAUAAUGAACAGAAAGAGCACGUGCAUUAAACUUUAUCACACGCAACUGCUUCUCAGAAUGAAUAAGGCCAGAACGUCAACUACGCUUCAUCUGAAGAUUGCAUAUCCGUCAAGUGCUCCAGUGUUUCUCCAUGAAUUUUUAAUAUGGAAUGUUUAGGGAAAAGAAAUGGCCAACUUGAUUUUACUUUUCAUUUCUUUUUGCCUAAUUCUAAAGUGACUGCUCAUUUGUCAGGAUUAAACUUGUGUUGCUUUAUGUUUCUCCUUUUUGGAAAGAGGAGAGAUGGUGGGGAAAUACAUCUUUCAAGUUUAUAAAUUAUGCUCCUUUCAUUUCCCACAGAUGGCCCUUGCUUCCCUAGAGACACUUGGGCAUUGGUGGUUAAGCAAGUAGAUUUGGAGCCAAGUCAGAUUUUUAUUGAGGCAUUUGAACUUUUUCUUGCUUCCCUUUCAAACUCCUCAGCCUUCAGCUGAGUUGGAAAGGUAAUGUACAGUUCUCAGAUAAAUUUUCAGAUGAUAGGCUUUCAUCUUUGUUUCUUGGUGGCGGGAGUAGAGUAGAUGAGGUUGGAAGUUUUGAUUUCGCAAAAAGGUAACAAGAUAAUGUCUUUUUUAUCGUAAGAUUUUUUAUCCAAAGUUUAUUUCUUAUCUGAAACAUACUUUCAAUUUUUAAUAAUAUGGAAAAAAUAAAGAGUUGUGAAAAAUUUAAUCCAUGUGUAUAAACACAGAAAGCCAUAAAGAUUAAGUACUAUGACAAAACCCCCAAAUAUUUUAAGACUAAUUUGCCUUAAAAAUUUCAGCACAUUUUCUUUUUUGCUCAGUUCUACUGGGUUCUGUUUUCUAUCAAAAGAAAACAGUCUGUCAUGUUAAUAUACAAGAGCAGCAAAAAACUGCAUGAGGAUACCACCCUUGGAGCUGCUGAAAAGAAAUAAUUUUCAAAAGUUUUCUUAAAAUGUAUGGAGUCCUCUUUUCAGAUUUACUGACUAUAAUCAGCUACCUGAAAAGUUCUUAUAUUUUGGCUACUAUUUAACAGUCAAUUAUUCUGUGGUGAGCAAACAUUUUUUAUUUUAAGUACCUAAAAAGAGCACUACAGUUUUUUUUUGUUUGUUUUUGGUUUUUUUUGUUUGUUUGUUUGUUUUGUCUUUUUGCUAUUUCUUUGGGCCGCUCCCUCGGCAUAUGGAGGUUCCCAGGCUAGGGGUCGAAUUGGAGCUGUAGCCACCAGCCUACGCCAGAGCCACAGCAACGCAGGAUCCGAGCCGCGUCUGCAACCUACACCACAGCUCACGGCAACGCCGGAUCGUUAACCCACCGAGUAAGGUCAGGGACCGAACCCGCAACCUCAUGGUUCCUAGUUGGAUUCGUUAACCACUGUGCCACGACGGGAACUCCAAAAGAGCACUACAUAAUCAAAAAGUCCCCAAAGGAACAUAAUUCAUAAUCCUACUAUUCACACUUAAAUAUUUUAGUUUUUGCCUUUAGUUAUUACCCUGUAGUGCUUGCCCAUUUUUGUGCAAAUGAAAAUCAUGUGGCUUUUUAAAAAAUAUUAUAUUCGAUUUUUAAAUCAUUCACUUAAAUGACUACAUUAUGUUGAUAUCACAUUGUAUCAAUUACUGUUUAAAUUGUUUUCAUUUUGGCAACUAAUAUUCCCAUAUAAUUUUUGGUUCUAUCGCUUUAUUUUCUUAAAAGAAAUUACCUUAAGCAAUAGGACCAAGUCAAAAGCAGAUUUUUUAGCUACAUAUGAGUAUAACAGAUUUGCUUCAGCCAUGACUAUUCUGUGCAUGUGCUUAAAUAUUGCUAAUUUAGUAGUUGCAAAAUUUUAACUCAGGAAAUUAAUUUACUUAAAAUUUUAAAUAAAGUAGUGAUCUCUAUAUUUUAUUAUUUGCAUCUAUUCUUUUGGGAGUUACAUGCUCAUAGCUGUGUAAGCAAGCAUUUCAUUGCUCCUGCUUCCACAGGAGUCAAUAAUUUCAGUGCUGCAUAUUGAAACAUUGAUAGGCAAGGAAUAAUAAAGACACUGCACAAUCCCCAGACAAUUGACUUGAAAUGUUAUAUAGUAUACCAUGAGGUUGUAAGAAACUAUAAAGUAUCCAGAUACAUCUGAACCUCUGGUACUUUUAUAAUACGAAUAGGUAUGCAUAUAAAGCUUUUAGAACCAGAAUGUACUUCCAUUCUUUCAUAUUUUUUAUGUUUGGGAUAUGCAUGUCUAUACAGAUGCUGAGAGAAGUAAAUCUGAGUGUGGAUGUGAACUCGUGUGUGAUUUUGAGCAGGUUAAUGCCUUGGUUUCCUAUCCAGAUGGAUUUAUUUACAGCAGUAUGGUAAUUAGCAUUUAGUGGAACAUGUAAAGCACUCAAAAAUGUUAGCUAUCAUUAUUAAAGUCUGAUCAGUCAUGUUAACUCAGAACCAAUAUAAUAUGUGGCUUAUUCAAGUAAUUUAGUGGAAUUAAUUUUUACAAAUGCAUUUUCUUUUGGAAUUUGUAGUAGUCAGUGUAAACAGUAAUUGAUGGCAUUACAGCUACAAACAUGUUGUACCAGAUGUGUUUCCUAAAGCAAAUCUAAGGGAUAAAAACACAUUGUGAUUGUGAAGUGAUGUAAUGUGUGUAUACAUGGAGGAUUGUGCAGUAGGAAGUAGAAUGUAGUAAACAUGGGUUUUGCCCAUUACGACUUUAUAACCUAGGCAACACAGUGUCAAAGAGACAAGUGCUCUAUCUUUCAUAAAUUGACAAUGGAUAAAUUGUAGGAGACUAUUAAUAAGAGAAAAAUCUAUCAUAGUGGAAAAUAAUUUGAACAGAUUAAAGUAAUACUUCUUAUAUUAAAUUCUAUUUUGUCUGACCCUAAUAGAGCCACUGAAGCUUACUUAUGCAUAUUGUAUAUCUUUUUCAACCUUUCUCAGCCUAUUAAUAUUUUUACAAAUGUAAAAAUUCUGUAUCUCUUGUGGAUGGCAUAUGAUUGAGUCUAGCUUUUUUUACAGCUUGGCCUAACAAUGUCUGCCAUUUGAUUAAAACAUUUAGUCCAUUUACAUUUAAUGUAAUUAGUGAUAUAGUUAAAUUUAGGUCUGCUCUUUGCUAUUUGUUUUCUGUUUGUCUUAGGUAUUUCUUGUUUCUUUUCUGCCUUGUGAUAAAUAUUUUACAGUGUAUCGUUUUAAUUCCAUUGGCUUUUUAUAGCUAUAUUCCUUUGAAUUCUUCUAAUGAUUACCAUAAGGAUUCCAGUAUACCUUAAUGUAUCAUAAUCAGCUUAAAAUUAUUAAUGAAUUAACUUUGGAACAAAAAUAUAUACGGCGAUAUAGAUAGGAGAUAGUGGUAUAGCUGUAGAUAUCUUGCAACUCUGUCGUUCCAGUUAUCUUACCUCCAUUCUUGGUGCUAUUAUUACAUUAUAUAUAUAUUACAUCUAUAGACAGGCAGACCUCAGUGAAUCAAUAUUACAAUAAAGCAAGUGGCACAAAUGUUUUGGUUUCCCAGUGCAUAUAAAAGUUAUGUUUACACUAUGCUAUAGUUUAUCAAGUGUGCAAUAGCAUUAUGCCUGAAAACAAUGUACAUACCUUAAGUUAAAAAUACUUUAUUGCUAAAAAAUGCUAAACUUCAUCUGAGCCUUCAGUGAGUUGUAAUCUUUAAACAAUAGUAACAUCAAAGAUCACUGAUCACAGAUCUCCACAACAUAUAUAAUAAUAAUGAAAAAGCUUGAUAUUGGGAGAAUUACCAAAAG
This 4909-nucleotide long non-coding RNA is filed under the name Sus scrofa (pig). Its description in RNAcentral is "lncRNA (ENSSSCG00000062109.1)". The record is from RNAcentral. Lineage: Eukaryota; Metazoa; Chordata; Mammalia; Artiodactyla; Suidae.